This 505-nucleotide ribosomal RNA is filed under the name Pareas carinatus (Keeled slug snake). RNAcentral's name for it is "partial 16S ribosomal RNA". It matches the Rfam family "Bacterial large subunit ribosomal RNA", at positions 1816 to 2597 of the family's 2925-position model. The record is from RNAcentral. Lineage: Eukaryota; Metazoa; Chordata; Lepidosauria; Squamata; Pareidae.
AACCUUUAGCCCAACAAGUAUUGAAGGCAACGCCUGCCCGGUGAAUUAUUAAACGGCCGCGGUAUCCUAACCGUGCAAAGGUAGCAUAAUCAUUUGUCUAUUAAUUGUAGACCUGUAUGAAUGGCAAAAUGAAAGUCUGACUGUCUCUUAUAGUAGAUCAAUUAAACUGAUCUCCUAGUUCAAAAGCUAGAAUACCAACAUAAGACCAGAAGACCCUGUGAAGCUUUAAUUAAACCAUUAAAUCCAAUAAUGACUACUUUCGGUUGGGGCGACCUUGGAAAAAGAAAAACUUCCAAAUAUAGUGAUUAUUCACACCAUUAAGGCUAACAAGCCCUUAAAAGAUCCAGUACACCUGAAAAAUGAACUAAGUUACUCCAGGGAUAACAGCGCUAUCUUCUUCAAGAGCCCAUAUCAAAAAGAAGGUUUACGACCUCGAUGUUGGAUCAGGACAUCCUGAUGGUGCAGCCGCUAUCAAGGGUUCGUUUGUUCAACGAUUAAUAGUCCU